GGUUCGGUGGUGUAGUUGGUUUAUCACGUCAGUCUAACAUCUUUCCUCGCUCUCGAGUCAAGAGUUCACUGAAGGUCGGGAGUUCGAGCCUCCCCUGAAUCA
RNAcentral lists this transfer RNA (102 nucleotides) under Verticillium alfalfae VaMs.102. Its description in RNAcentral is "tRNA-Val". It matches the Rfam family "tRNA". Rfam says of the family: Transfer RNA (tRNA) molecules are approximately 80 nucleotides in length. Their secondary structure includes four short double-helical elements and three loops (D, anti-codon, and T loops). The record is from RNAcentral. Lineage: Eukaryota; Fungi; Ascomycota; Sordariomycetes; Glomerellales; Plectosphaerellaceae.